RNAcentral lists this ribosomal RNA (253 nucleotides) under uncultured bacterium. RNAcentral describes it as "partial 16S ribosomal RNA". It matches the Rfam family "Bacterial small subunit ribosomal RNA", at positions 524 to 776 of the family's 1533-position model. The record is from RNAcentral.
UACGUAGGGAGCAAGCGUUGUCCGGAAUCAUUGGGCGUAAAGCGCGCGUAGGUGGCCCCAUAAGUCCGCUGUGAAAGUCAAAGGCUCAACCUUUGAAAGCCGGUCGGAUACUGUGGGACUAGAGUACGGAAGAGGCGAGUGGAAUUCCUGGUGUAGCGGUGGAAUGCGUAGAUAUCAGGAGGAACACCUGUGGCGAAAGCGGCUCUCUGGACCACAACUGACGCUGAGGCGCGAAAGCUAGGGAGCAAACAGG